AAACCGGAUUCGGACCGGUCGGUUUCCCUCGGGUGAUCAUAGUUUGUCCAGCCCUAAUCAUUUGUGUUGAUUGGUUAUUAUUCUUGUUGUUGGCUUUAAUAUUUCCAUGUUUAGAUCUAUUUUGCAUGUGUAUUUUCAAUCUAUUUAUUUUAAACUUGUAUUUUUUUGAAGCUAGUCAUUUUCCAGGUUUAGAUCUAUUUAUUUUCAUGUUUAGAUCUAUUUUGAAUUUGUAUUUUCAAUCUAUUUAUCUUCACCUUGUAUUUUUUUGAUUUUCCAGGUUUAGAUCUAUUUAUUUCCAGGUUUAGAUCUAUUUUUCAUUUGUUUUUUCAAUCUAUUUUGCUUAAUCUUGUAUUUUUUUGAAGCGGUUCAUUUUUCAGGUUUAGAUCUAUUUUGCCUUUGUUUUUCCUAAAGUUUGUCUCUUGGUACUUUAAAUCUUCUCCUUGACUAUGCAAUACUGUUAUACAACUAUUUCAUUAGUUACUGAAUGUGCAGUUUAUACAUAUGAUAUUGUGCAGGGAAUGUAAAUAUAUGAAGUGUAUACAUAUUUCAUUUGUUUUGAUGUAGGUUUUAUUAUACAAUAUCAGUGAAGAUAAAAGAUAUUAUUAGCUCAUGUCUGAAAGUGAAAAUGUGAAGCAUAUCGAAAUAAAAUGGUGAAAAUUGGAGGCAAAUCAAAAUAUUCCAGAGAUAUGAUGAAAGAUGAAUUCCCAGGGUGGGAAGCAAUUAUGGACAAAUUUUUAAUUUUUAAUUUUAAUAGUUGUAAGAAAGAUUUAGAUUUAAUUGCGUGUCUAUUUAUAUAAGGUUAAAAUAAUUUUA
Vicia villosa (hairy vetch) is the source of this 813-nucleotide long non-coding RNA. RefSeq lists it as uncharacterized. The transcript is spliced from 2 exons. The record is from RefSeq and is a predicted model, not a curated record. NCBI's taxonomy places the organism in Eukaryota, Viridiplantae, Streptophyta, Magnoliopsida, Fabales, Fabaceae.